CUGAUGGCGACCGGCGCACGGGUGCGUAACGCGUAUGCAACCUACCUGUAACAGGGGGAUAACACUGAGAAAUCGGUACUAAUACCGCAUAACACUAUGAGAGGCAUCUCUUGUGGUUGAAAGUUUCGGCGGUUACAGAUGGGCAUGCGUUGUAUUAGCUGGUUGGUAAGGUAACGGCUUACCAAGGCGACGAUACAUAGGGGGACUGAGAGGUUAACCCCCCACAUUGGUACCGAGACACGGACCAAACUCCUACGGAAGGCAGCAG
This 268-nucleotide ribosomal RNA is filed under the name uncultured bacterium. RNAcentral's name for it is "partial 16S ribosomal RNA". It matches the Rfam family "Bacterial small subunit ribosomal RNA", at positions 85 to 354 of the family's 1533-position model. The record is from RNAcentral.